This is a long non-coding RNA of Girardinichthys multiradiatus, 157 nucleotides long. RefSeq lists it as uncharacterized. NCBI's taxonomy places the organism in Eukaryota, Metazoa, Chordata, Actinopteri, Cyprinodontiformes, Goodeidae. The transcript has 3 exons. The record is from RefSeq and is a predicted model, not a curated record.
CAGACGCAUAGAAAAUGACGGACAUGUAUCUGUUUUUCUUUUUAUCGCAGUUUUGUGACUGAAUUAUAUUCUGACAACAAAUGCCGGAUGGCAUUCCCCCGUGUUUCCGCAACGUCUUUGGAAGAGCACACUGAAGACGUUGAUAUCGAGCGAACCC